AGAUAUUCUUAGCUGUCUUUCAUAGAGUUUUAAAAUUUUUAGUAUGAAGAUAACUGCAAAUGUUAGAAAGUGUACCUAAUAAUACUGUUUUUGUACAGUUAUUAUAUGAAGCCUCUCUGUCUCUAGUUGGAAAAUGGCCCCUGCCUUCAUGCUGUGUCCCCAUAUCUUUGCUCUGUUCUUAUACCUGUAGGUUGAUUCUCAGUCUAUUCUAUGUUCUUCACCUUGACUCUGCUUUAAUUUAAUUACCUUUCUAAUGGUCUCACCUCAAAAUAUAAUCACAUUCUGGGUCACUUGGUCACUGGGAGCUUUAACAUACAAAUGUUGCAGGAUACAAUCCAGCCCUUAACAUUGUCUGAGGAUUUUAAAGUAAAAAAAAAAAAUGAAGGCAGAGCCUUAAAAUUCUGCUGGACUUUAUUAUGCCUUUACAUAUAAUAGGAGAAAUUUCUGAAUGAGAAAAGAGAAAAGGGGCAUAAAGAAUGUUUGAAGAAAUAUGCUUCUUAUGGUGGCUGUACCAUUUUACACUGCCAUCAACAGGGCGCUAUAACUUCCCAUAUAUGAUAAAAAUGUAUAAAUCUACACAUCUAAGAAGUGGAAUGAACUCCAAAUAAAGUCUAUUAUACACAUAUAAUCAAACAACUGAAAGAAAAACAAAUUGUGAAAGUAAUAUAAAAAAAUGACUUGUGACACCAGGUAAGAACAGCUGAUUUGCCAUCAGGAACCAUGGAGGCCAGAAGGUGGUGGCAUGAAAUAGAGUGCUAAAAGAAAUAAUUAACCAAGAAUUUCAUAAGCAGCAAAAUUAUAUUUCGAAACAUGAAGAUGAAAUUAAGAUAUUCCCAGAUAGAGAAAAAACAGAUUUUAUCACUAACAGAUAGAUCUGUCCUGUAAGAAAUACUAAAGGGAAGUUCCUCAGGAUGCCUUAACAGUCAUUAGACAGUAACUUGAAUGCAUAUGAAGAACUGUUGAGCCAAUAAAGGAAACUAUGAAGUAAAGGUAAAUAUAAAAGAUAGUGCAAGCACAUUUUUUGUUGUAACUUUUUCUCCUGUAUUAUUUAAAAGAUAAUCACAUAAAGCAAUAAUUAUAAAUCUGUGUUGCUGUGCAUAUAGUAGUGUUUGUGAAAAUAAGGCCAAACAUAAUGGAGACAACAAAGGUACACAGAACUAACUCUGCAUACUACUGAGAUUAAGUUGGUAUUAAUCCAUUGUAAGUUAUAUUAAUUAUAAUCCAUAGGCCAAUCACUAAGGAGAUAAUUCAU
Molecule: long non-coding RNA, 1252 nt
Filed under: Marmota monax (woodchuck)
Lineage: Eukaryota; Metazoa; Chordata; Mammalia; Rodentia; Sciuridae
Source: RNAcentral